Armigeres subalbatus is the source of this 370-nucleotide long non-coding RNA. RefSeq lists it as uncharacterized. Lineage: Eukaryota; Metazoa; Arthropoda; Insecta; Diptera; Culicidae. The record is from RefSeq and is a predicted model, not a curated record. The transcript has 3 exons.
AGCAGAAAGGAACCACAGGGAUGCCGCAGAAAUGACGGAUCACUUGUCAGUACGGCGCUGUCGGUGUGCGUAUGAUUGACAGGGAGACGUCAACGAAGAAAAUAGAACAGAGCUAAAGAAUAACAAUACGAACGUUGAUUGCGCUAAAGUUAAUUAGUGAAGUUAAUCAGUAAAAUGUUUGAUGACCUAAGCAAAUAAGCUCAAAUAAUGAUCUUAGUUAGGUCACAUGCAUAACUUGCCCUAAGAUAGUAUCUAUUGAAUUAAAUUCCUGUGCAAACCUGAAUUACCCCCUUAAAUUAGUUAAACGGAAUACGUAAUUGGCUGACUAGAAACAGAUCACAGAACGGUUUAUGACGUAGACUAGAUACAC